GGGGACGCUGCUGGCCCCAGGCCUCAGGUCAGUCUGCAGAGUGAGGACGUGGUCAUGGCCCACGGCGAGUAACGAACUGAGACGAAGCCCUGGGCCUUGCUUUUCAGGCAUGCAAUUAGCUGCACAGGGUUGUUGCCUGAAGAUUCACCUUCCACGUGGU
Long non-coding RNA from Oxyura jamaicensis (ruddy duck), 160 nucleotides. RefSeq lists it as uncharacterized. The transcript has 3 exons. The record is from RefSeq and is a predicted model, not a curated record. NCBI's taxonomy places the organism in Eukaryota, Metazoa, Chordata, Aves, Anseriformes, Anatidae.